UUUACCACCGCACAAUUUAAAACUUAAAGUUGGCUCGGUAGUCAUCAUGCUUAGAAAUUUAAACCAACCAAAACUGUGUAAUGGAACGCGUUUGGUGAUAAGAAAACUGAUGAGCAAUGUUAUUCAUGCGUCGAUACUUAAAGGAAAGUUUAAAGAUGAGAAAGUUCUUAUUCCAAGAAUUCCGAUGAUCCCAACGGAUAUGCCCUUUGAGUUUAAACGAAUUCAAUUCCCGAUUCGUCUUGCCUUCGCCAUGACGAUCAACAAAUCACAGGGCCAAUCCUUGACUAUUUGUGGCCUCAAUCUAGAAAAUGCAUGUUUUUCUCAUGGUCAAUUGUACGUGGCAUGCUCACGUGUCGGCAAACCAUCCGCUUUAUUUGUUCUUGGGCCUGACCAAAAAACAAAGAGUGCCGUUUACCACAAAGUGCUUGAAUGAAAAUAAAGCCUAAAUUAGUUCAGCUAAAAAGUAACACGACAUUCAUUGACUGUUAGGCGGUACGAAGUUUGCCGGGUCAGCUAGUGUUAGUAUAUAUAAUUUAAAAUUGUUCAUUAAAGAAUUCAUAUUUAAAUGCUGAGGUACAAAAUUAGCUAUACAGAUUCUAGUGUCACAUGUACAUGCGCAUCAUAUUUGGAAUCCUUUUUCCAUUUUUGGACAUUUCUCGACUUCUGAGAGAAUUCAAAGAACAAAAAAUAUGGCAUUCUUCGAAUGUCAAGCCAAUUAUGAUAUACAUUCAGUCAGGCUCCGGUUUUCACUUUCACAAAAUAUGUGUGAUUUACUUUUCAAAACGAAAAGUAAGGCGCUUCAGCAUUCGUAAAAUGCGCCAUUGAGUUUGUGACCUUUCUAUAAAUAGUUUUAAUUUAAACAGACCUUAAAAUUGGAUCUGCAAAAAUUGGUGUGUGCAACAACAAAAAGAGGUCUUUUUGUAUGAGAUGGUACUAACGCAGUAAAUUUGGCUCUUAAUAGCCUUUUCACACUGGGCGCGUUUCCUGUCGAUAUCGGAAUAGACGCAAUGGAGCAGAAAAAGCGUUCACGUCUUGAGAACUGCUGAAUUGGGUGCUUGAUGACAAGAAAAGUAACCAAAUUUUGCGAAAUCAACCGAAUAAUACAUUUCUUUGUAGAUUUUGUGGGAGUUCUUCUUCAAAGCCUGAAAUCAUAAAAGUUCUUCUCCAGUUCUUAAUGGCCCCAGGGGUCACAAAAAUUUCGUAUGAUAAUAAUAGAAUCAGCUUAAAGUAUUUUAUAUAAGGAUUUUGUGUAUAUUUUUACCUUUUCGCACAA
This is a long non-coding RNA of Drosophila obscura, 1273 nucleotides long. RefSeq lists it as uncharacterized. NCBI's taxonomy places the organism in Eukaryota, Metazoa, Arthropoda, Insecta, Diptera, Drosophilidae. The record is from RefSeq and is a predicted model, not a curated record. The transcript has 3 exons.